AUUGCCCUAGUAACGGCGAGUGAAGCGGCAACAGCUCAAAUUUGAAAGCUAGCCUUCGGGUUCGCAUUGUAAUUUGUAGAGGAUGAUUUGGGGAAGCCGCCUGUCUAAGUUCCUUGGAACAGGACGUCAUAGAGGGUGAGAAUCCCGUAUGUGACAGGAAAUGGCACCCUAUGUAAAUCUCCUUCGACGAGUCGAGUUGUUUGGGAAUGCAGCUCUAAAUGGGAGGUAAAUUUCUUCUAAAGCUAAAUAUUGGCGAGAGACCGAUAGCGCACAAGUAGAGUGAUCGAAAGAUGAAAAGCACUUUGGAAAGAGAGUUAAAAAGCACGUGAAAUUGUUGAAAGGGAAGCGCUUGCAAUCAGACUUGUUUAAACUGUUCGGCCGGUCUUCUGACCGGUUUACUCAGUUUGGACAGGCCAGCAUCAGUUUCGGCGGCCGGAUAAAGGCUCUGGGAAUGUGGCCUCCACUUCGGUGGAGGUGUUAUAGCCCAGGGUGUAAUACGGCCAGCCGGGACUGAGGUCCGCGCUUCGGCUAGGAUGCUGGCGUAAUGGUUGUAAGCGACCCGUCUUGAAACACGGACCAAGGAGUCUAACAUCUAUGCGAGUGUUCGGGUGUCAAACCCCUGCGCGUAAUGAAAGUGAACGGAGGUGGGAACCCGCAAGGGUGCACCAUCGACCGAUCCUGAUGUCUUCGGAUGGAUUUGAGUAAGAGCAUAGCUGUUGGGACCCGAAAGAUGGUGAACUAUGCCUGAAUAGGGUGAAGCCAGAGGAAACUCUGGUGGAGGCUCGCAGCGGUUCUGACGUGCAAAUCGAUCGUCAAAUUUGGGUAUAGGGGCG
RNAcentral lists this ribosomal RNA (833 nucleotides) under Aureobasidium pullulans. RNAcentral's name for it is "partial large subunit ribosomal RNA". It matches the Rfam family "Eukaryotic large subunit ribosomal RNA", at positions 74 to 925 of the family's 3401-position model. Lineage: Eukaryota; Fungi; Ascomycota; Dothideomycetes; Dothideales; Saccotheciaceae. The record is from RNAcentral.